This 509-nucleotide small RNA is filed under the name Histoplasma capsulatum var. duboisii H88. RNAcentral's name for it is "Histoplasma capsulatum H88 hypothetical RNA". The record is from RNAcentral. Lineage: Eukaryota; Fungi; Ascomycota; Eurotiomycetes; Onygenales; Ajellomycetaceae.
GUAAUCAUCACCCUGGGGUGGCUGUGGACUCUUGUGCUAACCACGCCUUCAAAGCUCGAUCCCUGGGGGGUUUGAACCAGUUCGUUCACUGCCAGCCGAAGGGGGUUCACAGUUCUUACACCAAUAUUCCCCGCCAGCUUCGAUGUUGUUCCAUUUCUGUGAUCUUGGUAACAUUUCCUCCCGUCCACAUUUGCUCGUCUACAUUUUCCUUGGGAGCGAUGCCGCUUGUUGAGACAGACAGCAGAUCUAGAUCAGAUUGAAGAACAGCCUGCCUUCAGAAAUUGUAUUGACCAACAUACCACCCUCUUCCUCUGUCUGCCACCAGAAUUUCUGAGCAGCGGCACCUAUAUUCUCAAAAUUAGCGUUCUCUCAGUCGAAAGUUGCCGGAUUUACAAAGUCUACUUUUUAAGCACACAUAAUUUUUUUUUAAACGGACCAAUUUAUAAUAUAAUCAGCGUGUUGUCAGAUACUGUUAUAUAUUCUCUAAAUAUAAAAAAUCAAGAAAUACU